This 243-nucleotide long non-coding RNA is filed under the name Marmota monax (woodchuck). Lineage: Eukaryota; Metazoa; Chordata; Mammalia; Rodentia; Sciuridae. The record is from RNAcentral.
UGGGAUUACAGAUGUGCACCACUGCACCUGGCUUAAUUUUGAUUUUAGUUCAUUGCAACCAAAAAGGUCUAAUAUUCAGAUGUUAGUUGAGGCGUCUGUAGGCAGUUGCUUGAUUGUCAGUCAAUGUUUUCAUAGAUAUUUAUCAGGACAAUCCUGCCAGAUGAGUCAUUCUUACAAUCCAAUUAUUGAUGGGGAAACUGAGGCUCAGAGAGGCAAAGCCACACACCUGAGGUCACACACCUG